Molecule: ribosomal RNA, 387 nt
Filed under: uncultured bacterium
Lineage: Bacteria
Description: bacterial SSU rRNA
Rfam family: Bacterial small subunit ribosomal RNA
Source: RNAcentral
GACGAACGCUGGCGGCGUGCUUAACACAUGCAAGUCGAGCGGUAAGGCCCUUUCGGGGGUACACGAGCGGCGAACGGGUGAGUAACACGUGGGUGACCUGCCCUCAGCUCUGGGAUAAGCCUGGGAAACCGGGUCUAAUACUGGAUAUGACUCCAUGACGCAUGUUGUGGGGUGGAAAGCCUUGUGCGGCUGAGGAUGGGCCCGCGGCCUAUCAGCUUGUUGGUGGGGUGAUGGCCUACCAAGGCGACGACGGGUAGCCGGCCUGAGAGGGCGACCGGCCACACUGGGACUGAGACACGGCCCAGACUCCUACGGAGGCAGCAGUGGGGAAUCUUGCGCAAUGGGCGAAAGCCUGACGCAGCGACGCCGCGUGAGGGAUGACGGCCU